AAAACUUUCAACAACGGAUCUCUUGGUUCUGGCAUCGAUGAAGAACGCAGCGAAAUGCGAUAAGUAAUGUGAAUUGCAGAAUUCAGUGAACCAUCGAAUCUUUGAACGCACAUUGCGCCCGGUAGUAAUCUGCCGGGCAUGCCUGUCCGAGCGUCAUUU
This 159-nucleotide ribosomal RNA is filed under the name Kernia pachypleura. RNAcentral's name for it is "5.8S ribosomal RNA". It matches the Rfam family "5.8S ribosomal RNA". Rfam says of the family: 5.8S ribosomal RNA (5.8S rRNA) is a component of the large subunit of the eukaryotic ribosome. It is transcribed by RNA polymerase I as part of the 45S precursor that also contains 18S and 28S rRNA. The record is from RNAcentral. RNAcentral also lists the same sequence under 3 other names. Lineage: Eukaryota; Fungi; Ascomycota; Sordariomycetes; Microascales; Microascaceae.